GCCUGGGUGGCUCAGUCAGUUAGGCAUCUGACUCUAGAUCUCAGGUUUGUGAGUUCAAGUCCCGCCUUGGGCU
Molecule: transfer RNA, 73 nt
Filed under: Felis catus (domestic cat)
Lineage: Eukaryota; Metazoa; Chordata; Mammalia; Carnivora; Felidae
Also listed under: 4 other names
Rfam family: tRNA
About the family: Transfer RNA (tRNA) molecules are approximately 80 nucleotides in length. Their secondary structure includes four short double-helical elements and three loops (D, anti-codon, and T loops).
Source: Rfam by way of RNAcentral